Molecule: ribosomal RNA, 1447 nt
Filed under: metagenome
Description: bacterial SSU rRNA
Rfam family: Bacterial small subunit ribosomal RNA
Source: RNAcentral
AGAGUUUGAUCCUGGCUCAGGAUGAACGCUGGCGGUAUGCUUAACACAUGCAAGUCGAACGGUGUCUUCGGACACAGUGGUGGACGGGUGAGUAACGCGUGAGAAUCUGCCUCUAGGUUGGGGACAACAGUUGGAAAUGACUGUUAAUACCCAAUGUGUUGUAAGGUGAAAGAUUUAUUGCCUGGAGAGGAGCUCGCGUCUGAUUAGUUAGUUGGUGAGGUAAAGGUUUACCAAGGUAUUGAUCAGUAGCUGGUCUGAGAGGAUGAGCAGCCACACUGGGAUUGAGACACGGCCCAGACUCCUAUGGGAGGUAGCAGUGGGGAAUUUUCCGCAAUGGGCGAAAGCCUGACGGAGCGAUACCGCGUGAGGGAGGAAGGCCUUUGGGUUGUAAACCUCUUUUCUCAGGGAAGAAGAUUUGAUGGUACCUGAGGAAUAAGCAUCGGUUAACUCCGUGCCAGUAGUUGUGGUAAUACGGAGGAUGCAAGCGUUAUCCGGAAUCAUUGGGCGUAAAGCGUCCGCAGGUGGUUUUUCAAGUCUGCUGUUAAAGACUGGAGUUUAAUUCCGGAAAGGCAGUGGAAACUGAGAAACUAGAGUUCGGUAGGGGUAGCGGGAAUUCCCAGUGUAGUGGUGAAAUGUGUAGAUAUUGGGAAGAAUAUUGGUGGUGAAGGUGCGCUACUGGACCGAAAUUGACACUCAGGGACGAAAGCUAGGGUAGUGAAAGGGAUUAGAUAUUCCUGUAGUUCUAGCUGUAAACGAUGGAAACUAGGUGUGGCUUGUAUUGAUUCGAGCCGUGCCGUAGCUAAUGCGUUAAGUUUCCCGCCUGGGGAGUACGCACGUAAGUGUGAAACUCAAAGGAAUUGACGGGGGCCCGCACAAGCGGUGGAGUAUGUGGUUUAAUUUGAUGCAACGCGAAGAACCUUACCAGGGCUUGAUAUGUCGCGAAUCUUGGUGAAAGCUGAGAGUGCCUUCGGGAGCGCGAACACAGGUGGUGCAUGGCUGUCGUCAGCUCGUGUUGUGAGAUGUUGGGUUAAGUCUCGCAACGAGCGCAACCCUCGUCUUUAGUUGCCAGUAUUAAGUUGGGUAUUUUAGAGAGACUGCCGGUGAUAAACCGGAGGAAGGUGGGGAUGACGUUAAGUCAGCAUGCCCCUUACGCCCUGGGCUACACACGUACUACAAUGGUUGGGAUAAAGGGCAGCAAACCCGUGAGGGUAAGCGAAUUUUAUUAAACCCAGCCUCAGUUCAGAUUGCAGGCUGUAAUUUGCCUGCAUGAAGGAGGAAUCGCUAGUAAUCGCAGGUCAGCAUACUGCGGUGAAUUCGUUCCCGGGCCUUGUACACACCGCCCGUCACACCAUGGAAGCUGGUCACGCCCGAAGUAGUUACCCUAAUUUUUUGGGGGGGGGGACUUUUAAGGCAGGGCUAGUGACUGGGGUGAAGUUGAAAUAAGGUA